RNAcentral lists this transfer RNA (84 nucleotides) under Mycobacterium intracellulare subsp. chimaera. RNAcentral describes it as "tRNA-Tyr". It matches the Rfam family "tRNA". Rfam says of the family: Transfer RNA (tRNA) molecules are approximately 80 nucleotides in length. Their secondary structure includes four short double-helical elements and three loops (D, anti-codon, and T loops). The record is from RNAcentral. Lineage: Bacteria; Bacillati; Actinomycetota; Actinomycetes; Mycobacteriales; Mycobacteriaceae.
GGCAGGUUGCCCGAGCGGCCAAUGGGAGCGGACUGUAAAUCCGUCGCGAAAGCUUCACAGGUUCGAAUCCUGUACCUGCCACAA